Corvus hawaiiensis (hawaiian crow) is the source of this 577-nucleotide long non-coding RNA. RefSeq lists it as uncharacterized. The transcript is spliced from 4 exons. The record is from RefSeq and is a predicted model, not a curated record. NCBI's taxonomy places the organism in Eukaryota, Metazoa, Chordata, Aves, Passeriformes, Corvidae.
AAGGUACACCUAAGAAAAGCUGGAGAGAGCAUUGCUGGGAUGGUUGACCUGCAUUGGCCACACCACAGCAGGUUAUGUCCAGUAUAUGAACCGGGGAAGUUACCCAGAAGAAAUAAAUUUGGAGCCAAGAAAUACUAACAUGGAGGGCAGUCUACCUACAGAGAACAGAGUUCUGUAUUGCCUCAAGCUUUCCUGUUUACAAAUAUAUGUCACACAAAAUACCAUUCUCUACUCAAUUGGUCACAUUCCACUGGGAAAACAUGGGAUGGUUUCCUCUGCUAAGACCAGUGAAAGCACAGGAGAAAGGAAGCUCACCUGGGAAGAUUGUCUCUUAUGAGCACAAAGAGCAUCUGUGCAGGUGUCUCCAGCUGAUGUGUUUCUGCCUAACAACAGAAGUUCCUGGGACCUUGCAUUUUGUACUUCUUUCAUUGAAUUUCUAUUAUCCAACUGUUUAAGAUUAUAAAGUUUCUUAUGUAUGAAAUCCAAGAUGUUGCCUCACAAAUUUUAAAAGCAAAUAUAUUCAUGCAAGUAACCUGAUCACAUGAAAUUUAGGUAAGAACAAAGAAUACACUUUAUA